CGGAGGGGCCAGCGUUAUUCGGAAUUACUGGGCGUAAAGCGCACGUAGGCGGAUCAGAAAGUCAGAGGUGAAAUCCCAGGGCUCAACCUUGGAACUGCCUUUGAAACUCCUGAUCUUGAGGUCGAGAGAGGUGAGUGGAAUUCCGAGUGUAGAGGUGAAAUUCGUAGAUAUUCGGAGGAACACCAGUGGCGAAGGCGGCUCACUGGCUCGAUACUGACGCUGAGGUGCGAAAGCGUGGGAGCAAACAGGAUU
RNAcentral lists this ribosomal RNA (252 nucleotides) under uncultured bacterium. RNAcentral describes it as "partial 16S ribosomal RNA". It matches the Rfam family "Bacterial small subunit ribosomal RNA", at positions 526 to 779 of the family's 1533-position model. The record is from RNAcentral.